This 677-nucleotide ribosomal RNA is filed under the name uncultured bacterium. Its description in RNAcentral is "bacterial SSU rRNA". It matches the Rfam family "Bacterial small subunit ribosomal RNA", at positions 35 to 738 of the family's 1533-position model. The record is from RNAcentral.
GCUGGCGGCAGGCCUAACACAUGCAAGUCGAACGGAGUUAUAUUGUAGCUUGCUAUGGUAUAACUUAGUGGCAGACGGGUGAGUAAUGUAUAGGAAUCUACCUAGUAGUACGGAAUAAUUGUUGGAAACGGCAACUAAUACCGUAUACGCCCUACGGGGGAAAAAUUUAUUGCUAUUAGAUGAGCCUAUAUUAGAUUAGCUAGUUGGUGGAGUAAUAGCCUACCAAGGCAAUGAUCUAUAGCUGAUCUGAGAGGAUGAUCAGCCACACUGGAACUGAGAUACGGUCCAUACUCCUACGGGAGGCAGCAGUGGGGAAUAUUGGACAAUGGGCGAAAGCCUGAUCCAGCCAUGCCGCAUGAGUGAAGAAUGCCUUUGGGUUGUAAAGCUCUUUUAGUGAGGAAGAUAAUGACGGUACUCACAAAAGAAGUCCUGGCUAACUCCGUGCCACCAGCCGCGGUAAUACGGAGAGGGCUAGCGUUAUUCAGAAUUAUUGGGCGUAAAGGGCGCGUAGUGCGGAUUACUAAGUUAAGAGUGAAAUCCGCAAGGCUCAACCUUGGAAUUGCUUUUACAACUGCUAAUCUAGAGAUUGAAAGAGGAUAGAGGAAUUCCUAUUGUAUAGGUGAAAUUCGUAAAUAUUAGGAGGAACACCAGUGGCUAAGGCGUCUAUCUGGUUCAAA